UCCGGCUUAUGACCGGCAGUCUCGCUAGAGUGCCCGACAUUACUCGCUGGCAACUAACGACAAGGGUUGCGCUCGUUGCGGGACUUAACCCAACAUCUCACGACACGAGCUGACGACAGCCAUGCAGCACCUGUGCACGGACUCCGAAGAGAGGGUGUGUUUCCACACCUGUCCCGUGCAUGUCAAGCCUGGGUAAGGUUCUUCGCGUUGCGUCGAAUUAAACCACAUGCUCCACCGCUUGUGCGGGCCCCCGUCAAUUCCUUUGAGUUUCAACCUUGCGGUCGUACUCCCCAGGCGGGACACUUAAUGCGUUAGCUGCGGCACUGGAGGGGUCGAUGCCUCCAACACCUAGUGUCCACCGUUUACGGUCAGGACUAC
Molecule: unclassified non-coding RNA, 378 nt
Filed under: uncultured Latescibacterota bacterium
Lineage: Bacteria; Pseudomonadati; Candidatus Latescibacterota
Description: uncultured Latescibacteria bacterium contains 16S-23S intergenic spacer region
Source: RNAcentral